CUUCCUCAAUUAAAAACACUCUGGGAAUACAACAUAUAAGUGCCCGCUGUGUUCCUGAGUGUCAAAAUCUUGAAUAAAAUUGAAAAAAAUCAACAUGACUUCUUCAACACACAGAGCCAGAGAGGAAAGCCCCCAAGAACCAAGACACCACCUGCAUUUACAUCUUCCAAAUGAAAAGUGAAAAAGGAACAAAUGUGGUCUCAUUACUUUCCAUCAAGGGCAAGAUUCUUACCACAACAAUGCCUAUUGCACCAGAUUAUCAAACACAGAAUCACAUUGUAACUUCUGGAAAAUGCAGAAUAUAUAUGCAGCAUGGAGCUAAAAGUCCUCCACAUAGGUAAACCUCACCUUGAAUGACCCCGUUGUUACAGACAAAAAACAAAAACAAAAACAACAACAACAACAACAAAAACGUGUAUCAUGAAAGGAGGGAAACUGAAUAAUAGGGACAAGAGAAACUUUCUGUAUUAAAGUUUCCUAAACCAAAAUCAUCCUUUUAAUUUGUUUUAGUUUACCGUUCUUGAACUUCUUAAUUCUCAUCUUUUUAAAUGUAAGUUGCAUUUACAUCCGUGUUAAAGUUUAGCCUUCGGAUAUAAGAAGUCAGUUUCUGGCAGGAUUGUAUUAAUACCUAUUUUAUGAUACUGGGUUCAAACACUUCCAUUACUCUAAAAGGAAAAGAGGAAGAUUAUAUAAUAGGCCC
This 700-nucleotide long non-coding RNA is filed under the name Lynx pardinus (Iberian lynx). The record is from RNAcentral. Lineage: Eukaryota; Metazoa; Chordata; Mammalia; Carnivora; Felidae.